UUUUUCUUAAAUCAGGAUUUAUCGUCAAAGACACUGUAUCUAUAACCCACUGGCCUAAAUCACCUUCAGCCUCUUCCUUCUCUGAGAAGCCAGAGUCCUAUGGCCCUGUGGUCCAGCCUGAACUGGCCCGCUGUUCCCACAACUCUGUCCCCAAGUGUGGCCACACCAACAGUGGUGACAGGCACCCAGGAGGCCCAGUGGGGACCACAAAGUGGAAGCGCUCAAUCGGCCCCCAGCGGACCAGGGGUCCUUGAUGUUGGGAGAUGCUGGCUGGCCUCCCAAAGGCCUCAGACAGCCUCUCCACGCUGUCCUGAGCAGGCAGAGGGCUACUGCCAGGGGUGGAGCCGAAGGAGACCCAGCUCAGGAGCAGGAACGGAGCAGCCGCGCACAAUUCCAUCAUCCCGCAAACCUCUCUGUACGGGCCUGGCCUCAACACGACCUCCUGGGGUGUCAGGAGUCCGCAGAGGUGCAGAACUGCUCCCCGCUGCCCCGGGCACAGCCUCCCACUGCGAGGCUCAUGGCAGCGGGUCCCCUGGGCCCAGCCUCCCGCCGAUAAGACCCAGCCCGUGUCCUGACGUCGAAGCCCCUGGAACGCAGCUCGUGAAGUUGAUGCUUCGGCUCUUGUGCCUCCCGGGCUGUGGGGGAGGAGCAUGAGUCCUGGGCUGGUCGUGCCCCCGCUAGACGCCCCCAGCUGUGAGGUGGGGGUGGCAAGUCCUCCCUCGAGAUGGGCCAGGGGCCGGCAGCUCCUCACAAGAAAGUCACAGGACCAGUGGGGACCGGAAAGAAUCUCCAGUCCCACAGGACCCAAGGGAGACAGAGGAGCAGCAGUACCGGGGGACCCAUGGGCUCAGCACCAAGACCGUCAGAUCCUUGCCUUCCCCCUGCGAGCCCACCUCUAGGAGACUCUGCUAAGGGAAGGGCGUCACUCUGAGUGUCACAGGGACAAACCAGAGAAUACCGUGUGACCUUGGUGGCUGGAAAUGGUGUGGACGGCUUCCCAGGCCCCGGGCAAUGCUUCCCACCUGACGCCGGAUUUCAGUUCAGGACACAGGGCACCUUCGCACCACAGCAUCAUGAUGCUCACGGGGUCUGCAGUCUUGCCACUGUGGCAGGACACUGCUUUAUCCAUCCCCUCGGAUGGGCAUCCUCAUGCCGCGUGUUGUCAAAUCUGCGCCUGGCUCAUUCUCAAAGUGUGACAAGAUGAGAAAAGACCAUGUACAAAAUCGGAGGGAGAAAAGAUUUAAAGAACUUGCUAACAGCCAUAGCAGAGGGCCGGUCUGGUGGAUGCACGGGGGAGCAGGCAGUCCCUGGCUGGGGCGGAGAGGCAAGUCCUGUGCCCCGUCGGCUCACACAUGCAGUGUGCAUGGAGUGUUUCAUCACCAGUUUAAGGCAGCGCUGGAGGAAAGCAUGGCUCACAGUCGUGGGCGGGGCCACACCAUGGUGAUGUGGACAAAGGCGAUUGCAGCCCCAACUCAGACUCAGAGCAUCAAUUACCAGAUCACUAUUAUUACUAUUUUUAUUAUGGGCAAAACUCACCAGCCAACUUGGCCUGAGGCCAAGAGACAAGAAGGCACUCAGGGCAAGGACUAGAGAAGACCUGCCAGAGGGACCCUCCAGACCUGCUCUCCAACACACACAGCUCCCACGUGCAGACAGCUCUCCUGCGCCCGCCCUCACAGCCAACGAACCACACACCUCCAGCUGGCCAUGGGGCACCAAGCCCUGGUGCAGGGCGUGCCGGGCCCCGACUCUGGGAGGAAGGAGCACCGAGCGCAGAGCCCUGGGCCUCCUCAGUUGACACCGAGCCUCUCCCAUCACAAAAGGAGACAUCACUUCCAGAUUGGAGCUGUCUAGAUCCUAGCCUCGACACUGUGCUCACAAAUUAAAUGUUUGGUUUUAUCCCUGAUCAUAUAGACAUUCAGCGCAAGGAUUAAAAAGUACAGAGAAAAACCCUCUUUAAGAUCAGGUGGAGUAUUAGAGUCUCUAUGUUUGAGCUGGGUUGAAAUCGAGUUUGCUAUUAAACCGUGGCAUCAAAUCCUCUGUCGCAGUUCGACUUCAAUGGACUCGUUCAACACGCGCGGCAGAUCACCAAGCCCAGCUCCCCCGUGGGACGGGGUGGGGACCAGCUGAGGAUUAUCUCGGCACGACAGUGUGCCAGGCGCAAUAAAGAAAUUGAGCGAAAUCGGGGUCUGUACAGAAGGCCAUCCUCCUGUGGCCUCACACACGCAGUUGCCCAGAACGGCCCAGGGCUUGGAGCAAGCUCCGCGCACAUGUGCGCAGCACGACGUACAGACCUGGCAGAGCCCCGGCCGGUCCAGGCUAAGGCUGCUCCAGGCCCCGGCCAGCGGGAGGAGACAGGAGAUGGGCGGCUGCACUCCCCGAGUCCUGCAUGUACACGACCACACCCCGUUACUGAAGGAACAUCCCCACAGUCCUCAGACUUUGGGGACCCAGAGCCAGCCCGGCCAGUCCAUAGGCCCUCAGAAGUCACCCGUGGGGACACCGGGGUGACAGUGUGAGUUCAGGGGUGGGCCAUGUGUCCUCUGCUGGGACGUGCCCUCUUCCUUCAGGAUGCCGGCUCACGGCCAAGUUGUGUAGGCACACACACGGUGGUGUGUGCACACUAAGGCAGAUGUGCACGCAUUCACAUGUGUACGGAUUUCCUGGGCAGUCCCCGGGGGCCUGUGUGCUCUGUCCUGUGGGACUCAGCAGCCAGGGAGAAGUCCACUCGGACCGUCCACAGGGCCGCACACCACCUGCCUGCCGAGCUCGAGGACUCUCUCAUGGGCCCUCAUUUGCCUUCCAGCCCCGCCUCCCAGGAUGGCCGCCUGUGCUCCCAGGAGCUCAGCCUUGACACACCUGCCCAGCCCAGUCCCAGGAGACACUUUCAUGGCCAACCUCAGCCAUGUGCCUCCGUCCCCUGAAUGGAGAGCUCCCUCAGCCCCUGUGCCCAGGUUGAUGCCACCCUUCUGGGCCUGGAAACCUACAGCAUGGCCUGUGCUCAGGCCUGGCUCACCUGGGCUCCCAGACACACCCUGGAAGGGAAUCAGGGGGCACAAGGUAGCAUCAACUUGGCCCUUAACCCUGGCUGACCCCUCUAUCCCCACAGCUGAACCUCCCAGCUCAUCCCCCAGGAUCGGAGAGACCAGAGGUGGCACCCAAAAACUCAAAUGCGGACGACCAGGAGGGAAGGGCUCCCACGGGGUUCACAGGGCCCCAGGGGCUGCCUCACCGGGUUUGCCUGUGACUUCCUGGUUCUGGCCCACAGCAUCCUGCGGUCCAGACAGGCAGUUGGUCCUGCAGUAUUCCUGCCCUGAUUUGGCUUUCUUCUCCCAUCUUACAGAUGAACCUUGACUCCAUCCUGCUCUGUAAUUCAGCCCCAACUUCCCCUGACUGUCCCCACUAACAUAAUUGUGAAAUAUAAUUAUGGCUUUUCCAGCAAAGUCAAAAUCUUCUCAUGGAAACUUCCCAGAAUCCGGCUGGCCUCGUCCCAACCUGCUCCCAUCCCGUCACGUCAUCCCCCCAUCCUGUCCCACAGCCGUGCUCUCUCCUCCCUGGGCAGCCCUCCCACUCAGGCGGCGUCUCUGCCCAGAGGCUGGAUGAACUGGGACAAGAGGGCCAGGUGGCGGCCCAUCCCACAGUGGGCUGUACCCUCCCAGAACCUUCUGCCAGCUCAACAUGGAGGUGAGGAGCACCCUGCCCACUGCUUGGCCUGGCCUGCAGCCUCCUGCAGAUUGGAAAACACGAGAAGAGCCCAGGAAAGCACAGCAGCUCUGCUGAGAGGGGAAGGUGGAGAGAAUGGGCUCCCCUUUACCAGCUUAGGGGCCUCCGCUGGAAGCCAGCAGCCCGGCCCCUCCAGGUGUGUCAGGCCAGGCUCUGAGAGCCAGCGGGCAUCUGGACCUGCACAGGAGCCCAUGGAAGGGACUGCCACGAAAGAGGAAAAGGGUAAUGACACUGAUUACUGCGACCGGGCUGGCUCCCCAGGGCCUCCCAAAGCCCGGAUCAGAACAGCUCUACUUCAGUGGGGCUCCAUGGGGGGCCGAAAAUUAAAACCAUGCCGCCCCUGGCCAAGCUGCCCUCCUCCCCCGACCCAGGUCCCCCGGGCCACCCAUGCGAUCCGGCACCUGCCAACACGCCGCGGCGGGAGGCACCAGAGUGGGCUGCAGGCGCCAGGUGAUCUGAGCGCAUGGAAGCCACCACAUAGUUGUCAGGGACCUCCGCCUACUCUCACCACCACUGCCGUCACUCCCCUAGGACAGGACAGUGCCCAGAGGGGGCACGAUUGUCCUUGAGAUGGGAGCUUUCAGAGCCAGCUGCCACCCCAGCUGGGACCACGGCUUCAAGAAGAAAACACAGCACCCCGUCAAGGGCUGAGGUGCCCCUGCCAACGGCUGGGGAGACAGACGCCUGCUGCGGAGGAGCAGCUGUUUCUGGAAGGCUCUGGGCCCCCAACCUAGGGAGGGGAGGGUCAUUAGAGGUGGCCCCAGCCAGGCUUGCAAAGAGAGCAGGGCGGUUUGAAGUGGACCAUGUGAACAUGUGGGUGUGUGCUCCGCCCUGGAGAAGGCUGGAGGGAGACGCCAACUCCUCACAAGACAUCACAGGCCUCAGGUCCUGGCCUUCCUCCUGCCUGGCAGCGCCUGCUCCCCCGCAGAUCCCCGGCUGUGCCCACCCAGAAAGCCUGCCCAGGGAGCCCCUACUCACCCUUCAGGUCCAGAUGGGCCCUCCCACUCACACUGCACGCCCCCAGUGAAAGGACUCUUACAGGGUCACUGGGUCACCCUGCCUUUCACCUCCUCUCCCUCUUGCUGGGGGAGCAGGGGACAGUGAGAACGCCGAUGGCCACACAGCCCACUCCCACCCGACAUCAGCAGGCUGGGCUCACCUCUUCAGGAGCAUGUUCCAGAACUAAGUCCAGCUGACUCUCGAAAGUCCUACAAGGAGUGAGGCCACAGGGUCAGGGCUGAUGGCAUACCCAUGGGAGGUCCCUGACUUCUCCAUCAGGAGGGGACAGUUUGAGCCCUGGGACCACAGCAGCCCUGGCCUCUCUGCCAGGGGCCCUGGGUUCCCUCCUGCUCCAGCUCCCCAGGAGCCGGAGGAAGAUCCUUGUUGUUUGUCCUCUUCCACAUGCUGAGCCAGGCGGGUCCCAGCCCCUGCACCCCAUUCCAUGCUCAGUAACCCAAGAGCUCGAGGCCCAGUGAGCCUAUAAAGGCCAUAUGAGGUCUUGAUGUCCCCGACCCCACAGAGCCAACCCAGGCCUCCAGAACCCCAAUUGGUGACUUCAUCCAGGCCUGCUUCUGCCAGGGCUGCAUGAAAACCAUCCAGGAGGCCCCGUCCUCUCUGCAGGGAUGACAGAAGGAGCAGGUUGACCACAGCUACCAGCCCUGAUACUGGCCACCGAGCGGGGGUAGAGCACCCAGCAGCAAUACUGAGGCCCCUCCCGACCGGGAGGACUCUCCAGGCUCUGCCAAGGCCCAGGUCAGGGCUCCAGAGUGGUACCUACACACGGUGAAGCCGACCACAGACCUCUGGGUGCAGUGGCCUCACCCCCAUGGCCUUAAACGGUCACAGGAAGGCCAUGGAGCUGGCAUCAGCCUCGGUCUCCUGAGGGGCAAAUGGGCCAGUAGAUGAGACAACACUCCUCCUUCUCUGGACCAGGACCCCGCCGCCCAGAGCAGACGCUGCAAGGAAAGGCAGUGGACUGAGGGGUGAGGGGUGACAAGAGGGGGAUUGCAGGCCCAUCUCUGUACACAGCAGCCCCUCCCUCUUAAUGGCACGGCCACCCAGUGGGCCCCAGGGCUGGAAGAGGCCUGAAGACACACAGCAAGACUGACAACACAGCAAAGGGGGUUAGAAACAUGCCCCACUCAGUAAGAGAAGAACAGCCCCAGGGAUGUCCAGGACCCAAACCCUGGAACCUGGAAAAGGCUGAGUGUCACCGUGAGUGGUAAAGACAUGACCGAAUUCUUGAGCGGGGAGACGGUCCUGGGGGCAUGUCAUCACGGGGCCCCUAUAAGAGGAGAGUGAAGGGAGAUGGUCCUGGGGCUGUGUUAUCACAGGGUCCCUAAAAGAGGAAGGUGAAGGGAGAUGGUCCUGGGGCCAUGUCGUCAUAGGGUCCCUAUCAGAGGGAAGCAGAGGGACGCCGGGAUACAGAGAGGACGAGGCCAGGUGAAGCCAGAUGCAGAGGUUGGAGUGACGCCCUCUGAAAAUGGAGGAAGAAGCCACGAGCCAAGGAAUUGGGAAAGGCCAGGAACAGACCUCCCCUGGAGAUUCCGGAAGAAACCAGCCCUGGCUGCCCCUUGAUUCCAGCUCAAUGAGACCUGUCUCAGACUUGUGACUGCAUAACUGUAGAGAAUAAAUUUGUGUUGUUUUAAACCACUGAGGGCCCGGUACUCUAUCACAGCAGCCACAGCAAACACGCCCUGGCUAGAGGCUGGGUUGCCAUCACAGCACCCCGGGCCUGAUGUCCAGGGAUGGCCCAGUGCUAGCUAGAGGGGGCAAGGCUGGCUCACCCAGGGUGGAAGGGCCUGGCAGAUGCUGGCUCCAGGAGGGCCCUGUGGGUGCGGGCCUGGGCAGAGCCGGGCAGUGAAGGGCAGUUGAAGGGAGAGGCGUGACCUUGAGUACCUUCCAGCCUGGUCACACAUCACAGAGCCGGCCCCUGCUGGUCCUCAUCCUCCCUGCUUCCUGAAGAGGCUGCCCACCCCCCGACCUCAGCUAGGCCACAGGCUGGGGGCUCGCCUCACAGCAAACACUGGCACCCCAGCCACCACGGCCCUGCUGGUGGGAGAUGGACUCUAAGAAGACACAGCCGGGCCCAGGGCUCAGAGGAUUCAGAUUCCCUGUUAUCACAUUAAAUACUGAUUCUCAGCAACAGUGUAACUGGGCACACUUGAUUGUACCCAGCCCUAGCCUGGAGCCACGUGGCUGGCUGGUCCCUGAAACCCGGCACCCCCUGCAAGGUAGGAUACAUUUCUGCAUCUCAGUGAGUAGGGAGGCUCAGGGUCCCAUCGUCGCCCAAGGCCGGAAGCAGCAAGAGGACAGGCCGGAUCCAAACUCAGAUCAUCAGCUGCCACCCAGGAUCCCCGCUGUCCUUCUGCAUAUCAUUACACACUCUAAAUUCUGGGAUGUCUCAAACAUAUCAGAAAAUCCUGACGGUGUGAGAUUUUCCCCCUAAGUCGCCUCAACGUGAGAGCAGAAAGAGGCUCGCAUGGGGCAGGAGCAACUAGUUACAGCCACUCGCCCCAUAACAACGAUUCAGUCAACAGCAGUCACAUAUCCAAUAGGGUCCCAUAAGAUUAGUACCACAGAGCCUAGGUGUGUAGGGGGCUAUACCACUUAGGUUUGCGUAAGUGCCCCGUGAUGGUCACACGACGAUGACAUUGCCUGACGACGCGUUUCUCAGAACAUGUCCCCAUCGCUAAACCAGACGUGCCUGUACCCGGGUCCCUGCACCAGAGUCCAAUCCAUUUGUUGGGUAGUGAAUGUGGCUCCGAGAGGCCCGCGGGGGGCCACGUCUCCUGGGUCUGGUAAUGAGGCCAUGAGGGGCUCUGAUCCAAAGAGCUUUGUCUGACUGCACAGCCCGGGGACCUGGACGCAAUCACAGGAAUGCUGCCAUGCACAGGAGCUGGGGGACGGCAAGCAGAACCCCAGGGCCAAUGCGGCCGGCCCGCUCCAGGUCUUGUUGGGGCUGCAGACUGGGGCGUCAGAGGAACAGGAGCCCCCCUCUUGAGUCCUGGGAAGCUCCUUCCCCAUCAAGGAAGCCUGCUCAGGCCACUUCCUUCUGGAAACGCAGGGAGGCUGCGUGACCAGCCCUGCCCAUAAGGAGGACAUGUUGUGGGACGCGGCUGCCUACUAGGAGCCACAUGCACACCUGGGCCGGCCACAGCUGCUGCCCAGGAGCCUCAAGUGGCCUGCUUCAGCCCUGGCCUGGCCACAGAAAGGCCAGGACUCAGACCUCCUCCACAGCAGCUGGGCGUGCCCCUACCUUCGGGAGUGGCUGGGCCCACAGGAGCCCCUGACUCGACCUCUCACCUGGCCCAACAGUUUCUCCAUCUGAGGGGUGCAGAACAGGGUGAGUGGAGCCAGACUCUCCCCAGAGCGUUCCUGAAGGAAAACCCGUGACUCCAAAACACAGGCCCGCUGUCUGCAGAAGGUGCACGGACCCCCUGUCCUCUCUGACCUUGAGCCUCCCUCCCCAGGAGCAAGUGCCCGGCCGGCCCCUCCCAGCUGGCUGCCCUGCGGGGCCCCGGUUAUUUCUACACCGGAGGGUGUUUUGGGGGCUCCCCUGGGCUGGUCCUCAGGCUGGGGGCCUGGUUUCAGGUAGAAAAACAAAAGGAGGCGAGCGCCUCGCCCAGCAGAUGCACCUUCUGCUCCCUUCCCUGGCUGUGGGUUCACCCUGCAGGGACUUGGGGCCUGGACACCUCCCCUGACCUGGCCACCCUACCCCAUGGCUGCUGCAUGGGCGUCUAUGCAGGGAGAGAAAGGAGACACCGGCACUUUGAUUGCCCUUCCCAAGGCAGGGAACGCGCCCCAAGACUUCGUUACUAAGCGCCUCACCUCCGUCCAGCUGGCUCCCAGUUAAUUAGCCCUGUUAAUGUGCGUAUUAAUGAGGCACUGCCUGCCAGUGGAGCACGUGGCCCCAGGGCCCGUCCCAAGCUGGCCUGGAAGGCUGCUGGCACAACAUCGGACACCUGGGUAAUUACUCUGCAGUUGGCGACUCCGCAAAGGUCGACAAAAGGCACGCCGGCAUCACUCGCCACGCAUCCUGCUACAGGCAGGGACCACAAUGCCCGCCGGCCUUCAGCCAGAGACGCCGGGACAUCAGGCAGCCCCUCUGUCUCGGGGCCAGGGUGACAGGACCCUGGCUGCACCCCGCCUUCCUAGAUCUUGCCCACCCCUGACAAGGUGCCCUGUGUGGUCAAAGCAGGACCUGGAGACCUAGAGAGGCCCUGGACCAAGAGGGACAACAGCCCCCUCAGCUGGAAAGAGCCCAGUGUGUUAUGUGAGCUGAGCUCUGACUGGAGAAUCUGGAACUUGCUGUGUCAGCGGCAAAGGGAAGUUCUUGUCACAGCGUCCUCGGCUCCUGCCCCCGACGGACCCCAGUCCAGUUACUUCUAGACUGAGCCCCCUGCCUCCAGGCUGGGUAUGGCUUCCUGUGGCCUCACUCCCCGCAUGGCAGACGGGAUGGACCUGGGCACCCCAGGGACCUGGAGCCCAGAGGAGCUGCCAGGAUCACGGUGCGGAUUCCUGGAUGAGGCUCAGUGUCCACACGUGGCCAGUCCAGCCCAUCAC
Equus caballus (horse) is the source of this 9288-nucleotide non-coding RNA. The record is from RefSeq and is a predicted model, not a curated record. NCBI's taxonomy places the organism in Eukaryota, Metazoa, Chordata, Mammalia, Perissodactyla, Equidae.